AUAUCAAUAAGCGGAGGAAAAGAAACUAACAAGGAUUCCCCUAGUAACGGCGAGUGAAGCGGGAACAGCUCAAAUUUUAAAUCUGGCUGCUUCGCAGUCCGAGUUGUAAUUUGAAGGCGUCUGUCGCAUGUGAGACGAUGGCACAAGUCCUCUGGAACGUGGCAUCAUAGAGGGUGAGAAUCCCGUCUCUGGUCGUUGUCUUGCAGGCACACAACAGGCGAUCCGAAGAGUCGAGUUGUUUGGGAUUGCAGCUCCAAAUGGGUGGUAAACUCCAUCUAAGGCUAAAUAUUGGCGAGAGACCGAUAGCGCACAAGUA
This 316-nucleotide ribosomal RNA is filed under the name uncultured Paraglomus. RNAcentral's name for it is "partial large subunit ribosomal RNA". It matches the Rfam family "Eukaryotic large subunit ribosomal RNA", at positions 40 to 350 of the family's 3401-position model. The record is from RNAcentral. Lineage: Eukaryota; Fungi; Glomeromycota; Glomeromycetes; Paraglomerales; Paraglomeraceae.